RNAcentral lists this transfer RNA (83 nucleotides) under bacterium HR29. Its description in RNAcentral is "tRNA-Leu". It matches the Rfam family "tRNA". From Rfam's summary of the family: Transfer RNA (tRNA) molecules are approximately 80 nucleotides in length. Their secondary structure includes four short double-helical elements and three loops (D, anti-codon, and T loops). The record is from RNAcentral. RNAcentral also lists the same sequence under 1 other name.
GCCGGGGUGGCGGAAUCGGCAGACGCGGCGGACUUAAAAUCCGCGGCCGCGAGGCGUGUGGGUUCGACUCCCACCCCCGGCAC